AAUUAAUAAGGUAGUUGAAAUUCGUAAAAGGGCGAUGGAAAAUAUGAAAACAGACGAUAGUUGCACACCAGACGGUAAAGAGAAAUUUAAACGCCGACGGAAUGAAAUGCUGGAUUUCCACCAGAAAGAACCAGAAACAGAGAAAGAAAUGGAGAAGGAAAAAAUAGAAGUAGAAAAGGAGAAGAUAAGUGUUGAGAAGAGAAAACAAGAAUUGGAGAUGGAGAGGUUCAAACUAAAAAAAAAAAAACGAACGAAGAUGAUUGACCUCCUUGCAUCCUUAAUUAAAAAACAAUAACUUUAGAAAUUUUAG
This is a long non-coding RNA of Saccostrea cuccullata (small rock oyster), 310 nucleotides long. RefSeq lists it as uncharacterized. Lineage: Eukaryota; Metazoa; Mollusca; Bivalvia; Ostreida; Ostreidae. The transcript has 3 exons. The record is from RefSeq and is a predicted model, not a curated record.